AGGGCGCACGGUGGAUGCCUUGGCACUAGAAGCCGACGAAGGACGUUACUAACGACGAUAUGCUUUGGGUAGCUGUAAGUAAGCGUUGAUCCAGAGAUUUCCGAAUGGGGGAACCCAGCACGAGUUAUGUCGUGUUAUCGACAAGUGAAUUCAUAGCUUGUCAGAAGGCAGACCCGGAGAACUGAAACAUCUUAGUACCCGGAGGAAGAGAAAGAAAAAUCGAUUCCCUGAGUAGCGGCGAGCGAAACGGGAAGAGCCCAAACCAAUAAGCUUGCUUAUUGGGGUUGUAGGACACUCUAUACGGAGUUACAAAGGAAUAUAUUAGACGAAUCAUCUGGAAAGUUGAAUCAAAGAAGGUAAUAAUCCUGUAGUUGAAAAUAUAUUCUCUCUUGAGUGGAUCCUGAGUACGACGGAGCACGUGAAAUUCCGUCGGAAUCUGGGAGGACCAUCUCCUAAGGCUAAAUACUCUCUAGUGACCGAUAGUGAACCAGUACCGUGAGGGAAAGGUGAAAAGUACCCCGGAAGGGGAGUGAAAGAGAACUUGAAACCGUGUGCUUACAAGUAGUCAGAGCCCGUUAAUGGGUGAUGGCGUGCCUUUUGUAGAAUGAACCGGCGAGUUACGAUCUGAUGCAAGGUUAAGCAGGAGAUGUGGAGCCGUAGCGAAAGCGAGUCUGAAUAGGGCGUUGAGUAUUUGGUCGUAGACCCGAAACCAGGUGAUCUACCCAUGGUCAGGUUGAAGUUCAGGUAACACUGAAUGGAGGACCGAACCGACUUACGUUGAAAAGUGAGCGGAUGAACUGUGGGUAGCGGAGAAAUUCCAAUCGAACUUGGAGAUAGCUGGUUCUCUCCGAAAUAGCUUUAGGGCUAGCCUCAAGUGAUGAUUAUUGGAGGUAGAGCACUGUUUGGACGAGGGGCCCCUCUCGGGUUACCGAAUUCAGACAAACUCCGAAUGCCAAUUAAUUUAACUUGGGAGUCAGAACAUGGGUGAUAAGGUCCGUGUUCGAAAGGGAAACAGCCCAGACCACCAGCUAAGGUCCCAAAAUAUAUGUUAAGUGGAAAAGGAUGUGGCGUUGCCCAGACAACUAGGAUGUUGGCUUAGAAGCAGCCAUCAUUUAAAGAGUGCGUAAUAGCUCACUAGUCGAGUGACACUGCGCCGAAAAUGUACCGGGGCUAAACAUAUUACCGAAGCUGUGGAUUGUCCGUAGGACAAUGGUAGGAGAGCGUUCUAAGGGCGUUGAAGCAUGAUCGCAAGGACAUGUGGAGCGCUUAGAAGUGAGAAUGCCGGUGUGAGUAGCGAAAGACGGGUGAGAAUCCCGUCCACCGAUUGACUAAGGUUUCCAGAGGAAGGCUCGUCCGCUCUGGGUUAGUCGGGUCCUAAGCUGAGGCCGACAGGCGUAGGCGAUGGAUAACAGGUUGAUAUUCCUGUACCACCUAGCAUCGUUUUAAUCGAUGGGGGGACGCAGUAGGAUAGGCGAAGCGUACGAUUGGAUUGUACGUCNAAGCAGUGAGAUUGAGUGUUAGGCAAAUCCGGCACUCUUAAGAUUGAGCUGUGAUGGGGAGAGGAAAUUGUUUCCUCGAGUCGUUGAUUUCACACUGCCGAGAAAAGCCUCUAGAUAGAUAAUAGGUGCCCGUACCGCAAACCGACACAGGUAGUCAAGAUGAGAAUUCUAAGGUGAGCGAGCGAACUCUCGUUAAGGAACUCGGCAAAAUGACCCCGUAACUUCGGGAGAAGGGGUGCUCUUUAGGGUGCAAGCCCAGAAGAGCCGCAGUGAAUAGGCCCAAGCGACUGUUUAUCAAAAACACAGGUCUCUGCUAAACCGUAAGGUGAUGUAUAGGGGCUGACGCCUGCCCGGUGCUGGAAGGUUAAGAGGAGUGGUUAGCUUCUGCGAAGCUACGAAUCGAAGCCCCAGUAAACGGCGGCCGUAACUAUAACGGUCCUAAGGUAGCGAAAUUCCUUGUCGGGUAAGUUCCGACCCGCACGAAAGGCGUAACGAUUUGGGCACUGUCUCAACGAGAGACUCGGUGAAAUCAUAGUACCUGUGAAGAUGCAGGUUACCCGCGACAGGACGGAAAGACCCCGUGGAGCUUUACUGUAGCCUGAUAUUGAAAUUCGGCACAGCUUGUACAGGAUAGGUAGGAGCCUUUGAAACGUGAGCGCUAGCUUACGUGGAGGCGCUGGUGGGAUACUACCCUAGCUGUGUUGGCUUUCUAACCCGCACCACUUAUCGUGGUGGGAGACAGUGUCAGGCGGGCAGUUUGACUGGGGCGGUCGCCUCCUAAAAGGUAACGGAGGCGCUCAAAGGUUCCCUCAGAAUGGUUGGAAAUCAUUCAUAGAGUGUAAAGGCAUAAGGGAGCUUGACUGCGAGACCUACAAGUCGAGCAGGGUCGAAAGACGGACUUAGUGAUCCGGUGGUUCCGCAUGGAAGGGCCAUCGCUCAACGGAUAAAAGCUACCCCGGGGAUAACAGGCUUAUCUCCCCCAAGAGUUCACAUCGACGGGGAGGUUUGGCACCUCGAUGUCGGCUCAUCGCAUCCUGGGGCUGUAGUCGGUCCCAAGGGUUGGGCUGUUCGCCCAUUAAAGCGGUACGCGAGCUGGGUUCAGAACGUCGUGAGACAGUUCGGUCCCUAUCCGUCGUGGGCGUAGGAAAUUUGAGAGGAGCUGUCCUUAGUACGAGAGGACCGGGAUGGACAUACCUCUGGUGUACCAGUUGUCGUGCCAACGGCAUAGCUGGGUAGCUAUGUAUGGACGGGAUAAGUGCUGAAAGCAUCUAAGCAUGAAGCCCCCCUCAAGAUGAGAUUUCCCAACUUCGGUUAU
Molecule: ribosomal RNA, 2814 nt
Filed under: Staphylococcus haemolyticus
Lineage: Bacteria; Bacillati; Bacillota; Bacilli; Caryophanales; Staphylococcaceae
Description: bacterial LSU rRNA
Rfam family: Bacterial large subunit ribosomal RNA
Source: RNAcentral